GAUGAACGCUGGCGGCGUGCCUAAUACAUGCAAGUCGAGCGAACGGACGAGAAGCUUGCUUCUCUGAUGUUAGCGGCGGACGGGUGAGUAACACGUGGAUAACCUACCUAUAAGACUGGGAUAACUUCGGGAAACCGGAGCUAAUACCGGAUAAUAUUUUGAACCGCAUGGUUCAAAAGUGAAAGACGGUCUUGCUGUCACUUAUAGAUGGAUCCGCGCUGCAUUAGCUAGUUGGUAAGGUAACGGCUUACCAAGGCAACGAUGCAUAGCCGACCUGAGAGGGUGGUCGGCCACACUGGACCUGUGACACGGUCCAGACUCCUACGGGAGGCAGCAGUAGGGAAUCUUCCGCAAUGGGCGAAAGCCUGCCGGAGCACCGCCGCGUGAGUGAUGAAGGUCUUCGGAUCGUAAAACUCUGUUAUUAGGGAAGAACAUAUGUGUAAGUAACUGUGCACAUCUUGACGGUACCUAAUCAGAAAGCCACGGCUAACUACGUG
This 497-nucleotide ribosomal RNA is filed under the name uncultured bacterium. Its description in RNAcentral is "partial 16S ribosomal RNA". It matches the Rfam family "Bacterial small subunit ribosomal RNA", at positions 28 to 507 of the family's 1533-position model. The record is from RNAcentral.